GCUACACAUGCAGUCGACGAUGAAGCUGGAGCUUGCUCUGGUGGAUUAGUGGCGAACGGGUGAGUAACACGUGAGUAACCUGCCCUUGACUCUGGAAUAAGCGUUGGAAACGACGUCUAAUACCGGAUACGAGCUUCCGCCGCAUGGUGAGGAGCUGGAAAGAAUUUCGGUCAAGGAUGGACUCGCGGCCUAUCAGGUAGUUGGUGAGGUAAUGGCUCACCAAGCCUACGACGGGUAGCCGGCCUGAGAGGGUGACCGGCCACACUGGAACUGAGACACGGUCCAGACUCCUACGGGAGGCAGCAGUGGGGAAUAUUGCACAAUGGGCGCAAGCCUGAUGCAGCAACGCCGCGUGAGGGACGACGGCCUUCGGGUUGUAAACCUCUUUUAGUAGGGAAGAAGCGAAAGUGACGGUACCUGCAGAAAAAGCACCGGCUAACUACGUGCCAGCAGCCGCGGUAAUACGUAGGGUGCAAGCGUUAUCCGGAAUUAUUGGCGUAAAGAGCUCGUAGGCGGUUUGUCGCGUCUGCUGUGAAACUGGGGCUCAACCCCCAGCCUGCAGUGGUACGGCAGACUAGAGUGCGGUAGGG
This 590-nucleotide ribosomal RNA is filed under the name bacterium fme09x42p93. Its description in RNAcentral is "bacterial SSU rRNA". It matches the Rfam family "Bacterial small subunit ribosomal RNA", at positions 48 to 656 of the family's 1533-position model. The record is from RNAcentral.